RNAcentral lists this ribosomal RNA (221 nucleotides) under uncultured bacterium. Its description in RNAcentral is "partial 16S ribosomal RNA". It matches the Rfam family "Bacterial small subunit ribosomal RNA", at positions 96 to 334 of the family's 1533-position model. The record is from RNAcentral.
UGGCAGACGGGUGAGUAACACGUGGGAAUCUUCCUAUCGGUGCGGAAUAGCUCAGGGAAACUUGGGGUAAUACCGCAUACGCCCUCCGGGGGAAAGAUUUAUCGCCGAUAGAUGAGCCCGCGUCUGAUUAGCUAGUUGGUGAGGUAAUGGCUCACCAAGGCGACGAUCAGUAGCUGGUCUGAGAGGAUGAUCAGCCACACUGGGACUGAGACACGGCCCAG